This 404-nucleotide ribosomal RNA is filed under the name uncultured bacterium. Its description in RNAcentral is "bacterial SSU rRNA". It matches the Rfam family "Bacterial small subunit ribosomal RNA", at positions 355 to 776 of the family's 1533-position model. The record is from RNAcentral.
UGGGGAAUAUUGCACAAUGGGGGAAACCCUGAUGCAGCGACGCCGCGUGGAGGAAGAAGGCCUUCGGGUUGUAAACUCCUGUCCGAGGGGACGAUAAUGACGGUACCCUUGGAGGAAGCACCGGCUAACUACGUGCCAGCAGCCGCGGUAAAACGUAGGGUGCAAGCGUUGUCCGGAAUUACUGGGUGUAAAGGGAGCGCAGGCGGAAUGACAAGUUGGGAGUGAAAAGUAUGGGCUCAACCCAUAACCUGCUUUCAAAACUGCCAUUCUUGAGUGGUGUAGAGGUAGGCGGAAUUCCCGGUGUAGCGGUGGAAUGCGUAGAUAUCGGGAGGAACACCAGUGGCGAAGGCGGCCUACUGGGCACUAACUGACGCUGAGGCUCGAAAGCAUGGGUAGCAAACAGG